UCCAUUGUGGUGUAGUGUUUUGAGUGUCGGACUAUGACUCUGGAGACCAGGGUUCGAUACCCUGCUCAGCCA
RNAcentral lists this transfer RNA (72 nucleotides) under Phrynosoma platyrhinos (Desert horned lizard). Its description in RNAcentral is "tRNA-OTHER". The record is from RNAcentral. Lineage: Eukaryota; Metazoa; Chordata; Lepidosauria; Squamata; Phrynosomatidae.